Non-coding RNA from Dendrothele bispora CBS 962.96, 86 nucleotides. The record is from the annotation of a GenBank genome assembly. NCBI's taxonomy places the organism in Eukaryota, Fungi, Basidiomycota, Agaricomycetes, Agaricales.
GGGGGUAUAGCUCAGCUGGGAGAGCAGCAGACUGAAGCCUAAUUCGGUUAUUCUGAAGGUCCCGCGUUCGAUCCGCGGUACCCCCA